RNAcentral lists this ribosomal RNA (89 nucleotides) under Lotharella globosa. RNAcentral describes it as "partial Trypanosomatid mitochondrial large subunit ribosomal RNA". Lineage: Eukaryota; Cercozoa; Chlorarachniophyceae. The record is from RNAcentral.
AAUAAUAAAAACAAAAACCAAAACAAAAACAAAAAUAAAAACGCGGCGGUAGGGUACCCCCCUCUCGUUCAGAAAGUGCACGUGUGCGC